Molecule: long non-coding RNA, 388 nt
Organism: Suricata suricatta (meerkat)
Lineage: Eukaryota; Metazoa; Chordata; Mammalia; Carnivora; Herpestidae
Exons: 2
Source: RefSeq, a predicted model, not a curated record
GCCAAUGAGAGCCCACCAGAGCUUCUCCCCUCCGGGGGUCUGGGUGCUCCUUUUCCCCCCUCUGAUCCUACCAUCCAGUAGAUCAUCCAAAUACAACUCCCUUUUCAUCUUAAGCUACUUUGAAGAAGGUUUUAUAUUUUAAAACCAAAAGAAACUUGAUGAAGAACCAUCAAAAAAGCAUCUAUUUCAACUGAUAAGCUUUAAGUCAAAAAGGGUCUAGGGGAAUCAGACAGAAAGAAUGAUCAAGACAACCACAGCAAGCCGGGAAACCUUCCAGAUGGGACGUCCAGGCUGAGACCUUGAGAGUCAACAAAUUAAAAGUAUUCAUGAGGGAGGACACGCACCUGCAAAGCCCUAGAAAUGGGCAAUAAGAUCACAGAAACUGCAA